GACGAACGCUGGCGGCGUGCUUAACACAUGCAAGUCGAACGGAAAGGCCCUGCUUUUGUGGGGUGCUCGAGUGGCGAACGGGUGAGUAACACGUGAGUAACCUGCCCUUGACUUUGGGAUAACUUCAGGAAACUGGGGCUAAUACCGGAUAGGAGCUCCUGCUGCAUGGUGGGGGUUGGAAAGUUUCGGCGGUUGGGGAUGGACUCGCGGCUUAUCAGCUUGUUGGUGGGGUAGUGGCUUACCAAGGCUUUGACGGGUAGCCGGCCUGAGAGGGUGAACGGCCACAUUGGGACUGAGAGACGGCCCAGACUCCUACGGGAGGCAGCAGUGGGGAAUAUUGCACAAUGGGCGGGAGCCUGAUGCAGCAACGCCGCGUGCGGGAUGACGGCCUGCGGGUUGUAAACCGCUUUCGCCUGUGACGAAGCGUGAGUGACGGUAAUGGGUAAAGAAGCACCGGCUAACUACGUG
This 468-nucleotide ribosomal RNA is filed under the name uncultured bacterium. Its description in RNAcentral is "partial 16S ribosomal RNA". It matches the Rfam family "Bacterial small subunit ribosomal RNA", at positions 28 to 507 of the family's 1533-position model. The record is from RNAcentral.